Molecule: ribosomal RNA, 491 nt
Filed under: uncultured bacterium
Lineage: Bacteria
Description: partial 16S ribosomal RNA
Rfam family: Bacterial small subunit ribosomal RNA
Source: RNAcentral
GACGAACGCUGGCGGCGUGCUUAACACAUGCAAGUCGAACGGAAAGGCCCUGCUUGCAGGGUACUCGAGUGGCGAACGGGUGAGUAACACGUGGGUGAUCUGCCCUGCACUUCGGAAUAAGCCUGGGAAACUGGGUCUAAUACCGGAUAGGACCAUCGUUUAGUGUCGGUGGUGGAAAGUUUUUCGGUGCAGGAUGAGCCCGCGGCCUAUCAGCUUGUUGGUGGGGUAAUGGCCUACCAAGGCGUCGACGGGUAGCCGGCCUGAGAGGGUGGACGGCCACAUUGGGACUGAGACACGGCCCAGACUCCUACGGGAGGCAGCAGUGGGGAAUAUUGCACAAUGGGCGCAAGCCUGAUGCAGCGACGCCGCGUGGGGGAUGAAGGCCUUCGGGUUGUAAACUCCUUUCAACCAUGACGAAGCUGGUCUUAUUGGGUCAGUGACGGUAGUGGUAGAAGAAGCACCGGCUAACUACGUGCCAGCCGCCGCAGUAA